RNAcentral lists this ribosomal RNA (200 nucleotides) under uncultured bacterium. Its description in RNAcentral is "partial 16S ribosomal RNA". It matches the Rfam family "Bacterial small subunit ribosomal RNA", at positions 8 to 226 of the family's 1533-position model. The record is from RNAcentral.
AGAGUUUGAUCAUGGCUCAGGACAAACGCUGGCGGCGUGCCUAACACAUGCAAGUCGAACGCCCUUACGCAAGUGAGGGAGUGGCGGACGGGUGAGUAACACGUGGCUACCUAUCCCCAAGUGAGGAAUACCGGCGAGAAAUCGCCGACAAGACCGCAUAGCCUCGGGCAGCCGAGGAAAGUCGCAAGACGCUUGAGGAG